GGGGUUGUAGCUCAGUGGUUGAGUGCUUGCCUCAUAUGCAUGAGGCACUGGGUUCAAUCCUCAGCACCACCA
Non-coding RNA from Ictidomys tridecemlineatus (thirteen-lined ground squirrel), 72 nucleotides. NCBI's taxonomy places the organism in Eukaryota, Metazoa, Chordata, Mammalia, Rodentia, Sciuridae. The record is from Rfam.